GUGUCCUUAGUUUAGUGGCUCAGAACUCCCCCUGCCCGGGGGCGACGCCGGUUUGAAUCCGGCAGGACGCA
Molecule: transfer RNA, 71 nt
Filed under: Streptomyces sp. H39-S7
Lineage: Bacteria; Bacillati; Actinomycetota; Actinomycetes; Kitasatosporales; Streptomycetaceae
Description: tRNA-Gly
Rfam family: tRNA
About the family: Transfer RNA (tRNA) molecules are approximately 80 nucleotides in length.
Source: RNAcentral